This 74-nucleotide transfer RNA is filed under the name archaeon CG10_big_fil_rev_8_21_14_0_10_43_11. Its description in RNAcentral is "tRNA-Arg". It matches the Rfam family "tRNA". From Rfam's summary of the family: Transfer RNA (tRNA) molecules are approximately 80 nucleotides in length. The record is from RNAcentral.
GGGCUUAUGAGGUAAUCUGGAUAGCCUGGCAGGCUUCGGACCUGCUCGUCGGGGUUCAAAUCCCCGUAAGCCCA